Molecule: non-coding RNA, 221 nt
Organism: Pelobates cultripes (western spadefoot toad)
Lineage: Eukaryota; Metazoa; Chordata; Amphibia; Anura; Pelobatidae
Source: the annotation of a GenBank genome assembly
CGAUGCUGGUGUGCUCGAAUAAUGGCUGCAAACAUUCUUUGGCUUAGAGCAGAGGAAGAUGGAGCAUUAACAGACCUCGUCCUCUGCAGAUAAACUGAUCAGCAACACAAUAAAUCCAAGAAAUGCCUCCUUGACUCCACUUAACAUGAAAGGCAGAGCAAUAUUUUAAUUGAGGACUUUGGUAACUGGCAGGAAAGCAUGAAAAAGGGACGUACAGAGCC